This 502-nucleotide ribosomal RNA is filed under the name uncultured Caryophanales bacterium. RNAcentral describes it as "uncultured Bacillales bacterium partial 16S ribosomal RNA". Lineage: Bacteria; Bacillati; Bacillota; Bacilli; Caryophanales. The record is from RNAcentral.
CACGUAGUUAGCCGGGGCUUUCUCCUCAAGUACUGUCAACACUUUAAUCUCUUCGACUAAUGUGAUUUCAUUCUUGAGAACAGAGCUUUACAAUCCGAAGACCGUCUUCACUCACGCGGCGUUGCUCCGUCAGGCUUGCGCCCAUUGCGGAAAAUUCCCUACUGCUGCCUCCCGUAGGAGUCUGGGCCGUGUCUCAGUCCCAGUGUGGCCGAUCACCCUCUCAGGUCGGCUACGCAUCGUCGCCUUGGUAGGCCUUUACCCCACCAACUAGCUAAUGCGCCGCGGGCCCAUCUACUAGUGAUAGCUAACGCCAUCUUUCUCCUCUUCCUCAUGCGAGGAAGAGGUCUAUCCGGUAUUAGCCCCGGUUUCCCGGAGUUAUCCCAGGCUAGUAGGCAGGUUACCCACGUGUUACUCACCCGUUCGCCGCUCGAUCCACACCCGAAGGUGCUUCUCGCGCUCGACUUGCAUGUAUUAGGCACGCGCCAGCGUCUCCUGCGCAGGA